Molecule: ribosomal RNA, 450 nt
Filed under: uncultured bacterium
Lineage: Bacteria
Description: bacterial SSU rRNA
Rfam family: Bacterial small subunit ribosomal RNA
Source: RNAcentral
GUGGGGAAUAUUGGACAAUGGGCGAAAGCCUGAUCCAGCCAUGCCGCGUGUGUGAAGAAGGUCUUCGGAUUGUAAAGCACUUUAAGUUGGGAGGAAGGGCAGUAAGUUAAUACCUUGCUGUUUUGACGUUACCGACAGAAUAAGCACCGGCUAACUUCGUGCCAGCAGCCGCGGUAAUACGAAGGGUGCAAGCGUUAAUCGGAAUUACUGGGCGUAAAGCGCGCGUAGGAGGUUUUGUAAGUUGGAGGUGAAAUCCCCGGGCUCAACCUGGGAACUGCCUCCAAAACUGCAUGACUAGAGUACGGUAGAGGGUAGUGGAAUUUCCUGUGUAGCGGUGAAAUGCGUAGAUAUAGGAAGGAACACCAGUGGCGAAGGCGACUACCUGGACUGAUACUGACACUGAGGUGCGAAAGCGUGGGGAGCAAACAGGAUUAGAUACCCGGGUAGUCC